This 823-nucleotide ribosomal RNA is filed under the name uncultured bacterium. Its description in RNAcentral is "bacterial SSU rRNA". It matches the Rfam family "Bacterial small subunit ribosomal RNA", at positions 631 to 1450 of the family's 1533-position model. The record is from RNAcentral.
UACGGGCUAANUAGAGUGCAGUAGGGGAGACUGGAAUUCCUGGUGUAGCGGUGGAAUGCGCAGAUAUCAGGAGGAACACCGAUGGCGAAGGCAGGUCUNUGGGCUGUAACUGACGCUGAGAAGCGAAAGCAUGGGGAGCGAACAGGAUUAGAUACCCUGGUAGUCCAUGCCGUAAACGUUGGGCACUAGGUGUGGGGGACAUUCCACGUUUUCCGCGCCGUAGCUAACGCAUUAAGUGCCCCGCCUGGGGAGUACGGCCGCAAGGCUAAAACUCAAAGAAAUUGACGGGGGCCCGCACAAGCGGCGGAGCAUGCGGAUUAAUUCGAUGCAACGCGAAGAACCUUACCAAGGCUUGACAUAUACUGGACUGCGUCAGAGAUGGCGUUUCCCUUCGGGGCUGGUAUACAGGUGGUGCAUGGUUGUCGUCAGCUCGUGUCGUGAGAUGUUGGGUUAAGUCCCGCAACGAGCGCAACCCUCGUUCUAUGUUGCCAGCACGUGAUGGUGGGGACUCAUAGGAGACUGCCGGGGUCAACUCGGAGGAAGGUGGGGAUGACGUCAAAUCAUCAUGCCCCUUAUGUCUUGGGCUUCACGCAUGCUACAAUGGCCGGUACAGAGGGUUGCGAUACUGUGAGGUGGAGCUAAUCCCUAAAAGCCGGUCUCAGUUCGGAUUGGGGUCUGCAACUCGACCCCAUGAAGUCGGAGUCGCUAGUAAUCGCAGAUCAGCAACGCUGCGGUGAAUACGUUCCCGGGCCUUGUACACACCGCCCGUCAAGUCACGAAAGUUGGUAACACCCGAAGCCGGUGGCCUAACCCUGGUGGGGGG